Molecule: ribosomal RNA, 413 nt
Filed under: uncultured eukaryote
Lineage: Eukaryota
Description: SSU rRNA
Rfam family: Eukaryotic small subunit ribosomal RNA
Source: RNAcentral
CCAGCAGCUGCGUUAAUUCCAGCUCUAAUAGCAUAUACUAAAGUUGUUGCAGUUAAAAAGCUCGUAGUCGAAUUUCGGUCUCGUGUGGGCUAUCGGCUUAGGUCGGAUGGCAUGCGCGGGCCUUUCUGCUUGGGAAUCUCUGGUUGGUUAACCCCUUCCAGAAGAGUCACAAGCCGUUUACUUUGAAAAAAUUAGAGUGUUCAAAGCAGGCCUACGCUUGAAUACAUUAGCAUGGAAUAAUGGAAUAGGACUUUGGUGCUAUUUUGUUGGUUUAUGGGACCGAAGUAAUGAUUAACAGGGACAGUUGGGGCCGUUUAUAUUUCGUUGUCAGAGGUGAAAUUCUUGGAUUUACGAAAGAUAAACUUCUGCGAAAGCAUUCGGCAAGGAUGUUUUCAUUGAUCAAGAACGAAAGU